GCAGGUUAAGGGACAUAGGAAGUAAUACAAGUGCAGUAACUUCCAUUUCUAUCUUCGGAGGAGAACGUGAGCCUUUGAGUUGAGGAAAGUGGUAAAUCAGUGCUCUGGCUGGUAUCCCUCAUGCUUUAGAGCUCUUCACAUGGAGUCGGUGUGACUACGUGAGUUAACUGAGUGCUAACGACUUCACGAUCGCUCACGCAUUUAAAGGAGAUCCCUGCUCAAGUUCAUUGGGAACAUUUCUUUGUUCUGUAGCCAUUGUAGUGCCAUGGAUGAUUUAUGGUUUCAUGUGGAAAAGACAGAGGAUGCCUGCGUUCCUGUGUCCGUGAGGAGGCCUGCCUCCAUUCGUCACUGGAGCUCACCACUUGGGAGUCUGCUUGGAUGAUUAUCUCCAUCUGACAGUGAGAGGCAUCUGUGCGGAGCCGGUCCUUGGUCCUCCGUAACAACACAGGAUCCCACACAGAGAGGAGGAGGCAAGAGACAACAGCUCCCCACACAAGACCAAUCUGGACUUGUUCCAUGUGGGUGACAAAGCGAAGUCCUCUCCUUGCUUGUCCCUUGCCUUCCUGUGCAGCAGGACUGCCAGAAAUCACAGCGGUGCAGUACUCAGCAGGAUGACAAGGAACCCCCAGUCUGGAAGAGAAGCAGCCCUGAUGUUCCUGUGUUCCUGCUGCUCAGCAAAGUGGUUGUGUAUGGAAUGCAAUCAGCGCUCUGCAGCUGCUCCUACAUUAGUGUGCAUCGGAGGCACUCAAUGGGUACGUGCAUGAUCAUAUAUGGAGUGGUGACAAGCCUGCUUGUCCCACCUGGGAGGGCACAUGCUCCCUUGUGGUGACCUUGGGGA
RNAcentral lists this long non-coding RNA (838 nucleotides) under Numida meleagris (helmeted guineafowl). Its description in RNAcentral is "lncRNA (ENSNMEG00000020211.1)". Lineage: Eukaryota; Metazoa; Chordata; Aves; Galliformes; Numididae. The record is from RNAcentral.